GAUCCUGGCUCAGGAUGAACGCUGGCGGCGUGCUUAACACAUGCAAGUCGAACGGGAAACCGUUUUAUUGAAGCUUCGGCAGAUUUUAGCUGGUUUCUAGUGGCGGACGGGUGAGUAACGCGUGGGUAACCUGCCUUAUACAGGGGGGAUAACGAACCAGAAAUGGUUGCUAAUACCGCAUAAGCGCACAGGACCGCAUGGUCCGGUGUGAAAAACUCCGGUGUAUAAGAUGGACCCGCGUUGGAUUAGCUAGUUGG
This 257-nucleotide ribosomal RNA is filed under the name uncultured bacterium. RNAcentral describes it as "partial 16S ribosomal RNA". It matches the Rfam family "Bacterial small subunit ribosomal RNA", at positions 15 to 252 of the family's 1533-position model. The record is from RNAcentral.